AAACGCCCUGUGCGGACCCGCAUGCAGGGUGUUGUGGGGGCUGGAGGUUAGUAACCUCCGGCUACCCGAU
Endozoicomonas numazuensis is the source of this 70-nucleotide non-coding RNA. The record is from Rfam. Lineage: Bacteria; Pseudomonadati; Pseudomonadota; Gammaproteobacteria; Oceanospirillales; Endozoicomonadaceae.